AGGACGAACGCUGGCGGCGUGCUUAACACAUGCAAGUCGAGCGGAAAGGCCCUUCGGGGUACUCGAGCGGCGAACGGGUGAGUAACACGUGAGUAACCUGCCCUAGGCUUUGGGAUAACCCUCGGAAACGGGGGCUAAUACUGGAUAUUCCCGCGGGAUCGCAUGGUUUUGUGGGGAAAGGUUUUCCGGCUUGGGAUGGGCUCGCGGCCUAUCAGCUUGAUGGUGGGGUAAUGGCCUACCAUGGCUUCGACGGGUAGCCGGCCUGAGAGGGUGACCGGUCACACUGGGACUGAGACACGGCCCAGACUCCUACGGGAGGCAGCAGUGGGGAAUAUUGCGCAAUGGGCGGAAGCCUGACGCAGCGACGCCGCGUGGGGGAUGACGGCCUUCGGGUUGUAAACCGUCUUUCGUCAUCGACGAAGCCCUUCGGGUGACGGUAGGUGGAGAAGAAGCACCGGCCAACUACGUGCCAGCAGCCGC
RNAcentral lists this ribosomal RNA (480 nucleotides) under uncultured bacterium. RNAcentral describes it as "SSU rRNA". It matches the Rfam family "Bacterial small subunit ribosomal RNA", at positions 26 to 518 of the family's 1533-position model. The record is from RNAcentral.